UACAGAGACCUCAAACGUUGUCCGGAUUCAUUGGGCGUAAAGCGUCCGCAGGUGGUUUGACAAGUCAUUGGUCAAAUCCUGGAGCUUAACUUCAGGACUGCUGAUGAUACUGUCAAACUUGAGGCUGGGAGAGGCAAGCGGAACUAUCGGUGUAGUCGUAAUAAGCGCUGAUAUCGAUAGGAACACCAAAGGCGAAGGCAGCUUGCUGGAACAUGCCUGACACUCAUGGACGAAAGCGUGGGUAGCGAAGGGG
RNAcentral lists this unclassified non-coding RNA (253 nucleotides) under Patescibacteria group bacterium. RNAcentral's name for it is "contains 16S-23S intergenic spacer region". It matches the Rfam family "Bacterial small subunit ribosomal RNA", at positions 524 to 776 of the family's 1533-position model. The record is from RNAcentral.